Molecule: ribosomal RNA, 254 nt
Filed under: uncultured bacterium
Lineage: Bacteria
Description: partial 16S ribosomal RNA
Rfam family: Bacterial small subunit ribosomal RNA
Source: RNAcentral
UACGUAGGGUGCGAGCGUUGUCCGGAAUUAUUGGGCGUAAAGAGCUCGUAGGCGGUCUGUCGCGUCGGUCGUGAAAACUUGGGGCUUAACCCUGAGCUUGCGGUCGAUACGGGCAUGACUGGAGUUCGGCAGGGGAGACUGGAAUUCCGGGUGUAGCGGUGAAAUGCGCAGAUAUCAGGAGGAACACCGGUGGCGAAGGCGGGUCGCUGGGCCGAUACUGACGCUGAGGAGCGAAAGCGUGGGGAGCGAACAGG